CAGGAAUGCAGAAGUCCAGAAACUCAACCUCUUCUUUGGAGGGUCCUUGGGCUGAAGGCCAAAUCAUUUGAGUUAAGUAAGUCCCUUACCUUUCAAACUCAAAGUGUUUGCUAUCCACAGCCAGCUUAUUUGGCUCAAAGCAUGCCACCAAAGGAAAUGCUGCUUCCUCAGUUGCAGGCAAUGUCAAGACAGCAAAUGGUCUUGCCUCAAGAACAGUCAAACACAGGACCAAUACCUCAUGAGUUACAGAGAUAUAAGGACUCUGGAAUCCUUCAACCACCAGAACUGAAGAUACAGAUAGACCCACAGACCCAGAUAAAGGGGACACUUUUUGAUCAGGGAAUAACGCUAACAAAUCCAGGGAUGGAACAAGAAUUGCUUCACCACCAGCAGCGUAGAAGUCCUGAAACACCUCCUCUUUUGUGGUGGGCCUUGGAGCAAGCCCAGCAAGGGAUGCCAUACAGAGAGCAGCUGAUAUCUCCUGAGUCCAAGAAAAUAAGCAACCCACCAAAAAUCCAACUUGAGGAAAAACCUCAAGUGAGAUCUGAGGCACUGAAACCAAAAGAACUCACAGAUCAAAAGAUCUGCAGUUCUCAAAAACUGAAUGAAUCAGGAACCCCUCUGAAUGAGACAUUCCAAGAAGAAAAUGUGACUACAGAUGCUCUUCUUUACUCUUCCCAACAGAUAGCAAGGAGCUUACAGAAUAUAGAGGGAUCUCCAACAAAGAAAAUGACUGUAUUAUCUCAGGAGACCAAAGAUCAAGAAACCUUUAUGGUCCAGGAAAAAGUGUCUAAAAUGUGCGAUUACCAUGGAAGUUGUUGUUCACUUGUCCCUCAGCUUCAGGAACCUCAGAAGGAUUCAGAUAGCAUUAAUAUUCUACACACAUCUCUCCAGUCCCAGUCAAAGUGGCAAAGUGAUCCCAAAGAUUGUGGUCCCUUAUUGGAGUCACAAACACUAAAGGAAACACAAUUGACAAAAUCUGAAGUUCUUCAGCAUGUGAAGCUAGAAGCUAGUCCAGUACUUGCUUAUCAGUGCCAAGGAACUAAGGAUCUCAUGAGCAUUUUCUCCCAAGGACAGUGUGAAACAGACACCUGUGAG
RNAcentral lists this long non-coding RNA (1098 nucleotides) under Salvator merianae (Argentine black and white tegu). RNAcentral describes it as "lncRNA (ENSSMRG00000004905.1)". Lineage: Eukaryota; Metazoa; Chordata; Lepidosauria; Squamata; Teiidae. The record is from RNAcentral.